Non-coding RNA from Cinara cedri, 256 nucleotides. NCBI's taxonomy places the organism in Eukaryota, Metazoa, Arthropoda, Insecta, Hemiptera, Aphididae. The record is from the annotation of a GenBank genome assembly.
AUUUUUAGUGCUAUUUUUCAAGUUUUAAUACUAUAUUUUACUAAUAUGCAUAAUAUUAUAUAUAUAUAUAUAUAUAUAUAUAUAUAUACAGUGUGUUCAUGCUAAGGGGUACCACUAAAUAUAUCAGUCAGAUGACCUUGUAUUAAAGUGGAGUUUUCGGGGAAUGAUAGAUAGUGUCCAAAUACACAUUUUCAGACAAAUUUCAGAUUUUUAACCCGUUUGGUAUGCACGUGCACAAUGCAACUUACUUUUUUUU